AGUGAGAAGCAGAAGGGUGUCUCACAAAGCGGUGGGAAAAAGUGAGAUAAGAGAGAAGCUGCAUUCCUGGCAUAGUGCCAGAUGUGCUGUGUUAGGAGCACCCCUUUGAAGAACUGAUAAGAACUCUAG
Molecule: non-coding RNA, 129 nt
Organism: Chelonoidis abingdonii (Abingdon island giant tortoise)
Lineage: Eukaryota; Metazoa; Chordata; Testudines; Testudinidae
Source: RefSeq, a predicted model, not a curated record